GUCUACGGCCAUACCACCCUGAACGCGCCCGAUCUCGUCUGAUCUCGGAAGCUAAGCAGGGUCGGGCCUGGUUAGUACUUGGAUGGGAGAUAGUACACAAUUGUUAGUACUACAGUUU
Molecule: ribosomal RNA, 118 nt
Filed under: Rattus norvegicus (Norway rat)
Lineage: Eukaryota; Metazoa; Chordata; Mammalia; Rodentia; Muridae
Source: RNAcentral